CUCAAACUAAGAAUAGGACUGUGACUGAUGAAGAAGGGCGACAGCGAUGGGGCCACGAGGAGCUUUGCUUGCUUCCUGCCAGGGAUUCCGUCUCUUCCCAUUUUUCAUGUCUUUGCCUCCCUCGUGGCCGAGCUGUCUGUGGCAGCAGAACCCUCCCUGUGGUUACCCCUCCAGUCUCGGUGCGUUGCUACUGUGACACAGGACAAGUAGGAGCCUGCAGAUGCCAAGGGUGUUUAAAGUGGCUUGCAGAGAUGUCACAGUAAAAUAGCGUUAAAAAAAAAGUUGACACCAUCACGCUGAAGAAAGCCUGGUAUAGGAAAAAAAAAAGAUGUUCCCAGGGAUGACUUGGGUGUACACGUUUCAUGCCAUGGGAUCCUACACUCUCUGCUGGUGGUACAAUACCAACUGGAUUCUGAACUACUUGGCAGCCAAAACA
This is a long non-coding RNA of Lagenorhynchus albirostris (white-beaked dolphin), 436 nucleotides long. RefSeq lists it as uncharacterized. The record is from RefSeq and is a predicted model, not a curated record. NCBI's taxonomy places the organism in Eukaryota, Metazoa, Chordata, Mammalia, Artiodactyla, Delphinidae. The transcript is spliced from 3 exons.